GACGAACGCUGGCGGCGUGCUUAACACAUGCAAGUCGAAUGGAGAGGCCCUGCCUUUGUGGCGUUCUCGAGUGGCGAACGGGUGAGUAACACGUGAGUAACCUGCUCCUGACUUUGGGUUAACUCCAGGAAACUGGGGCAAUUACCGGUUAUGAACUCCCGCGGCAUGGUGGGGGUUGGAAAGUUUCGGCGGUUGGGGAUGGAGUCGCGGUUUAUCUGCUUGUUGGUGGGGGAGUGGCUUACCAAGGCCUUGACGGGUAGCCGGACUGGGAGGGUGGCUAGCGACACUGGGACUGGACUACGGCGCGGGGUACUACGGGGGACAGCAGUGGGGAAUGAUGAACCAUGGGCGGGAGCCUGAUGGAGCAACGCCGCGUGCGGGAUGUUGGACUUCGGGUUGUAGACCGAUUUCACCUGUAACCAAGGGGGAGUGACGGUAAUGGAUAAGGAAGCACCGGCUAACUACGUG
This 468-nucleotide ribosomal RNA is filed under the name uncultured bacterium. RNAcentral's name for it is "partial 16S ribosomal RNA". It matches the Rfam family "Bacterial small subunit ribosomal RNA", at positions 28 to 507 of the family's 1533-position model. The record is from RNAcentral.